Molecule: ribosomal RNA, 102 nt
Filed under: Mesocricetus auratus (golden hamster)
Lineage: Eukaryota; Metazoa; Chordata; Mammalia; Rodentia; Cricetidae
Source: RNAcentral
AACUAUGGAUAUACCACUCCGAAUGCACCCAUCUCAUCUGCUCAUAGAAGCUAAGGAGGCUCAGGCCUGGUUUGUGCUUUGAAGAAAGAGAAUUCAGAGAAU